AGGAAUCAUGUUUUUGUGAAAACUGGUCUGGGACAACUAUGGUCUACAUUGCUGAAAAAGAUAACACGAUUUGUACAAGGGAAGAUUAUUGUUGUCACGAGCCACGGUGUAUAAAGGCAACUGUGGGGACAUCUGGGCAUUCAUUCAUCCACAAUGAAGGCUGCUUUUCUGAUUCUCCUCGUCUCUGUCAUGCUCAUUGGGUCAGCAUUUGUCGCUGAUGCCCAGUGUAACGGUAUUUGCCACAGCGACCACGACUGCAGCAACUGUGACAAUUGUCACAACGGACAUCAUUGUGACCGGCACCCAGAUGACGUUGCUGGAACCUGUUCAUGUCGCCAUUAAUGCUUUAUCCCAGAAAGAGGUGCCGAAAAUACCAACACCUUGUUCUGAGAGUUAAUAAAUGGUAUAAAUGAGAA
Molecule: long non-coding RNA, 416 nt
Organism: Haliotis rubra (blacklip abalone)
Lineage: Eukaryota; Metazoa; Mollusca; Gastropoda; Lepetellida; Haliotidae
Exons: 3
Source: RefSeq, a predicted model, not a curated record